CUACGGGUUGCACCAGUGAGGAAUAUUGCGCAAUGGGCGAAAGCCUGACGCAGCAACGCCGCGUGUGGGAAGAAGCUUCUAGGAGUGUAAACCACUGUUAGGAGGGACGAAUGACUGGUGUUCGAAUAGGGCAUCAGAGUGACGGUACCUCCAGAGAAAGCCCCGGCUAACUCCGUGCCAGCAGCCGCGGUAACACGGGGGGGGCAAGCGUUGUCCGGAAUUAUUGGGCGUAAAGGGCGCGUAGGCGGGAUGAUCAGUUUGAAGUGAAAGCUUGUGGCUUAACCAUAAGUCUGCUUUGAAUACUGUCAUUCUUGAGUUCGGAAGAGGAGAGCGGAAUUCCUGGUGUAGCGGUGAAGUGCGUAGAUAUCAGGAAGAACACCGGUGGCGAAGGCGGCUCUCUGGUCCGCAACUGACGCUGAGGCGCGAAAGUGUGGGUAGCGAACAGGAUUAGAUACCCGGGUAGUC
This 465-nucleotide ribosomal RNA is filed under the name uncultured bacterium. RNAcentral describes it as "partial 16S ribosomal RNA". It matches the Rfam family "Bacterial small subunit ribosomal RNA", at positions 339 to 795 of the family's 1533-position model. The record is from RNAcentral.